This 495-nucleotide ribosomal RNA is filed under the name uncultured bacterium. RNAcentral's name for it is "partial 16S ribosomal RNA". It matches the Rfam family "Bacterial small subunit ribosomal RNA", at positions 28 to 507 of the family's 1533-position model. The record is from RNAcentral.
GACGAACGCUGGCGGCGUGCCUAAUACAUGCAAGUAGAACGCUGAAGGAGGGGCUUGCUUCUCCGGAUGAGUUGCGAACGGGUGAGUAACGCGUAGGUAACCUGCCUGGUAGCGGGGGAUAACUAUUGGAAACGAUAGCUAAUACCGCAUAACAGUAGAUGUUGCAUGACAUUUGUUUAAAAGGUGCAAUUGCAUCACUACCAGAUGGACCUGCGUUGUAUUAGCUAGUUGGUGAGGUAACGGCUCACCAAGGCGACGAUACAUAGCCGACCUGAGAGGGUGAUCGGCCACACUGGGACUGAGACACGGCCCAGACUCCUACGGGAGGCAGCAGUAGGGAAUCUUCGGCAAUGGACGGAAGUCUGACCGAGCAACGCCGCGUGAGUGAAGAAGGUUUUCGGAUCGUAAAGCUCUGUUGUAAGAGAAGAACGAGUGUGAGAGUGGAAAGUUCACACUGUGACGGUAUCUUACCAGAAAGGGACGGCUAACUACGUG